AGGGCGCAUGGCGGAUGCCUUGGCUCUCGGAGGCGAUGAAGGACGUGAUAAGCUGCGAUAAGCUUCGGGUAGGUGCAAAUAACCUUUGAUCCGGAGAUUUCCGAAUGGGACAACCCGAUUGGUUGAAGACCAAUCAUCCAACGUUGUUGGAGGCUAACGCAGGGAACUGAAACAUCUUAGUACCUGCAGGAAAAGAAAAUAAAUAAUGAUUCCCCUAGUAGUGGCGAGCGAACGGGGACUAGCCCAAACCACCUAUGUUACGGCAUAUGUGGGGUUGUAGGACCACGUUGUGGCAAGAAAACUGGUGAGUAGAAUGUUCUGGAAAGUUCAACCAUAGAGCAUGAUAGUUGCGUAUACGAAGCCAGUCGAAGCCUAGUGGUAUCCUGAGUAGCGCGGAGCACGAGGAAUUCUGCGUGAACCAGCCGGGACCAUCCGGUAAGGCUAAAUACUCCCGAGAGACCGAUAGUGAACCAGUACUGUGAAGGAAAGGUGAAAAGCACUUCGAACAGAAGAGUGAAAUAGUUCCUGAAACCAUGCGCCUACAAGCGGUCGGAGCUCUUACGAGUGACGGCGUGCCUUUUGCAUAAUGAACCUACGAGUUACUUUUUCCGGCAAGGUUAAGGGUCUUGAGACCUGCAGCCGAAGCGAAAGCGAGUCUUAACAGGGCGUUCAGUCGGAAGGAGUAGACGCGAAACCAAGUGAUCUACCCUUGGGCAGGUUGAAGGAUGGGUAACACCAUCUGGAGGACCGAACCAAUAAGCGUUGAAAAGCUUCUGGAUGACCUGAGGGUGGGGGUGAAAGGCUAAUCAAACUUGGAGAUAGCUCGUACUCCCCGAAAUGCAUUUAGGUGCAGCCUUGACUUAUACUGGCAUGAGGUAGAGCGACUGAUAAGAUGCGAGGGCUUCACCGCCUAUCAAGUCUUGACAAACUCCGAAUGCGUGUCAGUUCUAUGUCAGGAGUGAGGGCAUGGGUGCUAAGGUCCAUGUCCUAAAGGAGAACAAUCCGGACCAACAGCUAAGGUCCCUAAAUGAAUACUAAGUUGAACUAACGAAGUCAGAUUGCUAAGACAGCUAGGAUGUUGGCUUGGAAGCAGCCAUUCAUUUAAAGAGUGCGUAACAGCUCACUAGUCGAGGAGUUUGGCGUGGAUAAUAAUCGGGCAUUAAGUAUUCUACCGAAGCUUUGGGAUGUGUAAACAUCGGUAGGGGAGCAUUCCACUCAGCGUUGAAGGCGGGGCGUGAGCCUUUCUGGAGCGUGUGGAAAAGCAAAUGUAGGUAUAAGUAACGAUAAAGGGGGUGAGAAACCCCCUCGCCGAAAGACUAAGGUUUCCUGAUCAACGCUAAUCGGAUCAGGGUUAGUCGGGUCCUAAGGCUCAGCCGAACGGCGAGGCCGAUGGCAGAACCGGUUAAUAUUCCGGUACUACCUCAAGGAGUGACGUGGAGACGGAGCAGUGACAGUGCCGCGGACUGACGGAAUAGUCCGUUAAAGGGUGUAGAUGUUGAUUCCUGCAGGCAAAUCCGCAGGAAGAGUCGAACCUGACAGUAUGGAGUGUCCUUCGGGACAAUCCAAUAGUGCACGUAAGCAUACUCCCGAGAAAAUCCGCUAAACUUAAUCCUUGUGGUACCCGUACCGCAAACGGACACACGUAGUCGGGUUGAAUAUACUAAGGCGCUUGAGUGAUUCACGGUUAAGGAACUAGGCAAACUGACCCUGUAACUUCGGGAUAAAGGGUCCUCAUCAGUGAUGGUGAGGCGCAGAGAAUCGGUCCAGGCAACUGUUUAACAAAAACACAGGGCUGUGCAAAAUAGAAAUAUGAAGUAUACAGCCUGACACCUGCCCGGUGCUGGAAGGUUAAGAGGAGAUGUCAUCGCAAGAGAAGCAUUGAAUUGAAGCCCCAGUAAACGGCGGCCGUAACUAUAACGGUCCUAAGGUAGCGAAAUUCCUUGUCGGGUAAGUUCCGACCUGCACGAAUGGUGUAAUGAUCUGGACGCUGUCUCAACCGUGAGCUCAGUGAAAUUGUAGUAUCGGUGAAGAUGCCGAUUAC
This 2041-nucleotide ribosomal RNA is filed under the name gut metagenome. RNAcentral's name for it is "bacterial LSU rRNA". It matches the Rfam family "Bacterial large subunit ribosomal RNA", at positions 14 to 2069 of the family's 2925-position model. The record is from RNAcentral.